Molecule: long non-coding RNA, 153 nt
Organism: Poecile atricapillus (Black-capped chickadee)
Lineage: Eukaryota; Metazoa; Chordata; Aves; Passeriformes; Paridae
Exons: 3
Source: RefSeq, a predicted model, not a curated record
GUGGGAUCAGAACAGCUCCAGGUGGGAUCAGAGCAGCUCCAGGGGGAUCAGAGCAGCUCCAGGGGGAUCAGAGCAGCUCCGGGUGGGAUCAGAGCAGCUCCGGGUGGGAUCAGAGCAGCUCCAGGGGGAUCAGAGCAGUUCUGGGUGGGAUCA